Molecule: ribosomal RNA, 330 nt
Filed under: Triticum aestivum (bread wheat)
Lineage: Eukaryota; Viridiplantae; Streptophyta; Magnoliopsida; Poales; Poaceae
Description: partial small subunit ribosomal RNA
Source: RNAcentral
AUGCGUCCAUGCCUCCCCAUCUACCGUGCUGGAGUAGCCGCCUCCUGGUUGAGGUAUCGCACUGCCACCGCUGCCGCUGCCUGGGUCCCUCCUCUCGCUCCUGCCGAGGUCGCAUGUUCGUCGAGGCAUCAAGACACGUCGGUUUUCUUUUCUUUUUCCCUAUUUCUGUUCUUCCACUUGUUUCUUCUUCCUGGACCUCCCUGUCAACUGAAAUUGCAGGCUGAGGUGAGCACCAUGAGGAAGAGGAGGUCAGUGGCUGAUAUAGAGAGCUCCUCGAACGGGGAAGUAGCAGUUCUGGAGGAACUCGAAGAUGCCAUUUUUCAGUUUUGA